RNAcentral lists this non-coding RNA (21 nucleotides) under Caenorhabditis elegans. Lineage: Eukaryota; Metazoa; Nematoda; Chromadorea; Rhabditida; Rhabditidae. The record is from RNAcentral.
UGGAAAUAUGAGUUGAAAACC